Small nucleolar RNA from Mesocricetus auratus (golden hamster), 133 nucleotides. Its record names the gene SNORA70. It matches the Rfam family "Small nucleolar RNA SNORA70". From Rfam's summary of the family: snoRNA U70 seems to be exclusive to mammals and is a member of the H/ACA class of snoRNA which contain H (ANANNA) and ACA box motifs. The record is from Ensembl. Lineage: Eukaryota; Metazoa; Chordata; Mammalia; Rodentia; Cricetidae.
UGGCAAGCAGUUAAGCCAACCAGGCCCCUUUACUCUCAGGGGCCUGCUUUGCAGAGGCUGUGAACAACCCCUCCUUGGUAGCACAGCAGCCUGUUUCCUAUAUGGACUGCCCUAAGGGACCUUGGAGACAACG